UACGGAGGGUGCAAGCGUUAUCCGGAAUCACUGGGUUUAAAGGGUGCGUAGGCGGCUUUAUAAGUCUGUUGUGAAAGCCAUCGGCUUAACCGAUCGAAUUGCAAUGGAUACUGUAGAGCUUGAAUCAGGUUGAGGCAGGCGGAAUGCGACAUGUAGCGGUGAAAUGCUUAGAUAUGUCGUAGAACACCGAUUGCGAAGGCAGCUUGCUGGACCUUGAUUGACGCUGAGGCACGAAAGCGUGGGGAGCAAACAGG
Molecule: ribosomal RNA, 254 nt
Filed under: uncultured bacterium
Lineage: Bacteria
Description: partial 16S ribosomal RNA
Rfam family: Bacterial small subunit ribosomal RNA
Source: RNAcentral